UAAAAAGAUAAGCUAAUCAAGCUUAUAGGUUCAUACCCUGUCCAUGAAAGAUAAAACUUUCUCUUUUUAA
RNAcentral lists this transfer RNA (70 nucleotides) under unidentified. RNAcentral describes it as "Borboresthes tibialis tRNA-Met". The record is from RNAcentral.